RNA transcript from Sapajus apella (tufted capuchin), 431 nucleotides. It is a transcript of the gene named 40S ribosomal protein S21 pseudogene, with no coding region annotated. The record is from RefSeq and is a predicted model, not a curated record. Lineage: Eukaryota; Metazoa; Chordata; Mammalia; Primates; Cebidae. The transcript has 4 exons.
AUGGUAUUCAGCUUCCUGGUGCCUAAGACAGAAAUGAACGCCAAUGGGAAAAACAGGAAGCCAUCUGGAGAAAUUUUUCUUUUUUAUAAAAUUAUUGAAAAGAAGGCUCACGUGCGGUGUGGUGGCAGCAGGAGCGGCCUCGAGACGCAGAGCGACGCCGGGGAGCUAGUGGACCUGCACCUGCCGCGGACAUGCUCCGCUAGCAACCGCAUCGUCGGUGCCCAGGACCACACAUCCAUCCAGAUGAACGUGGCCGGGGUUCAUAAGGUCACAGGCAGGUUUAACGGCCAGUUUAAAACUUAUGCCCUCUGCGGGGCCAUUGGUAGGAUGGGUGAGUCAGAUGAUUCCAUUCUCCGAUUGUCCAAGGCCGAUGGCAUCGUCUCAAAGAACUUUUGACUGGAGAGAAUCACGAAUGCGGAGAGACCGGAAGA